Molecule: ribosomal RNA, 497 nt
Filed under: uncultured bacterium
Lineage: Bacteria
Description: partial 16S ribosomal RNA
Rfam family: Bacterial small subunit ribosomal RNA
Source: RNAcentral
GAUGAACGCUGGCGGCGUGCCUAAUACAUGCAAGUCGAGCGAACAGACGAGGAUUUUGCUCCUCUGACGUGAGCGGCGGACGGGUGAUUAACAGGUGGAUAACCUACCUAGAAGAAUGGGAUAAGGUCGGGAAACCGGAUCCAAUAUACGACAAGAUAUUGAACCGCAUGGUUCAAUAGUGAAAGACGGUUUUGCUGUCACUUAUAGAUGGAACCUCGCCGCAUUAGCUAGUUGGUAAGGUAACGGCUUACCAAGGCAACGAUGCGUAGCCGACCUGAGAGGGUGAUCAGCCACACUGGAACUGAGACACGGUCCAGACUCCUACGGGAGGCAGCAGUAGGGAAUCUUCCGCAAUGGGCGAAAGCCUGACGCAGCAACGCCGCGUGAGUGAUGAAGGUCUUCGGAUCGUAAAACUCUGUUAUUAGGGAGGAACAAAAGUGUAAGUAUCUAUGCACGUCUUGACGGUACCUAAACAGAAAGCCCCGGCUAACUACGUG